UACGGAGGGUGCAAGCGUUGUCCGGAUUCAUUGGGUUUAAAGGGUGCGCAGGCGGGACAUUAAGUCAGGGGUGAAAGACGGUUGCUCAACAAUCGCAGUGCCUUUGAUACUGGUGUUCUUGGGUGACCUUGAGGUAGGCGGAAUGGGUGGUGUAGCGGUGAAAUGCAUAGAUACCACCCAGAACUCCGAUUGCGAAGGCAGCCUACUGGAGGUUUACCGACGCUCAGGCACGAAAGCGCGGGGAUCAAACAGG
RNAcentral lists this ribosomal RNA (253 nucleotides) under uncultured bacterium. RNAcentral describes it as "partial 16S ribosomal RNA". It matches the Rfam family "Bacterial small subunit ribosomal RNA", at positions 524 to 776 of the family's 1533-position model. The record is from RNAcentral.